RNAcentral lists this unclassified non-coding RNA (378 nucleotides) under uncultured Parachlamydiaceae bacterium. RNAcentral describes it as "contains 16S-23S intergenic spacer region". Lineage: Bacteria; Pseudomonadati; Chlamydiota; Chlamydiia; Parachlamydiales; Parachlamydiaceae. The record is from RNAcentral.
UCCUGGUUAACCCAGGCAGUCUCAUUAGAGUUCCCACCUUUACGUGUUGGCAACUAAUGAUAAGGGUUGCGCUCGUUGCGGGACUUAACCCAACACCUCACGGCACGAGCUGACGACAGCCAUGCAGCACCUGUGCAGCGGUCCCGAAGGAAGAUCCCAUCUCUGGGACUGUCCACUGCAUGUCAAGUCUGGGUAAGGUUCUUCGCGUUGCAUCGAAUUAAACCACAUGCUCCACUGCUUGUGCGGGUCCCCGUCAAUUCUUUUGAGUUUCAGCCUUGCGACUGUACUCCCCAGGCGGUAUACUUAACGCGUUCGCUACGGCACAGCCAGGGUUGAGUCCGGCUACACCUAGUAUACAUCGUUUAGGGCAAGGACUAC